RNAcentral lists this ribosomal RNA (254 nucleotides) under uncultured bacterium. RNAcentral describes it as "partial 16S ribosomal RNA". It matches the Rfam family "Bacterial small subunit ribosomal RNA", at positions 524 to 776 of the family's 1533-position model. The record is from RNAcentral.
UACGGGGGCAGCAAGCGUUGUUCGGAUUUACUGGGCGUAAAGGGCGCGUAGGCGGUCAGCACAAGUCAGUUGUGAAAUCUCCGGGCUUAACUCGGAAAGGUCAACUGAUACUGUGCGACUAGAGUGCAGAAGGGGCAACUGGAAUUCUUGGUGUAGCGGUGAAAUGCGUAGAUAUCAAGAGGAACACCUGCGGCGAAGGCGGGUUGCUGGGCUGACACUGACGCUGAAGCGCGAAAGCCAGGGGAGCGAACGGG